Molecule: ribosomal RNA, 447 nt
Filed under: uncultured bacterium
Lineage: Bacteria
Description: partial 16S ribosomal RNA
Rfam family: Bacterial small subunit ribosomal RNA
Source: RNAcentral
AGCGAACGCUGGCGGCAGGCUUAACACAUGCAAGUCGAGCGCCCCGCAAGGGGAGCGGCAGACGGGUGAGUAACACGUGGGAACGUGCCUUUUGGUUCGGAACAACCCAGGGAAACUCGGGCUAAUACCGGAUAAGCCCUUACGGGGAAAGAUUUAUCGCCAAAAGAUCGGCCCGCGUCUGAUUAGCUAGUUGGUGGGGUAAUGGCCCACCAAGGCUACGAUCAGUAGCUGGUCUGAGAGGAUAAUCAGCCACAUUGGGACUGAGACACGGCCCAAACUCCUACGGGAGGCAGCAGUGGGGAAUCUUGGACAAUGGGCGCAAGCCUGGUCCAGCCAUGCCGCGUGAGUGAUGAAGGCCUUAGGGUUGUAAAGCUCUUUCAGUGGGGAAGAUAAUGACGGUACCCACAGAAGAAGCCCCGGCUAACUUCGUGCCAGCCGCCGCAGUAA